Molecule: non-coding RNA, 845 nt
Organism: Punica granatum (pomegranate)
Lineage: Eukaryota; Viridiplantae; Streptophyta; Magnoliopsida; Myrtales; Lythraceae
Source: RefSeq, a predicted model, not a curated record
AUCUUCUUCCCCAACGCCAACUGCCCCUUCCGAGUGGAAUUAGUCCCUUCAAUCUCCCGGAUAACGCUUCCCUUUGCUGUCUCUUCCUUUCGCCUAUCUUGAUUUUUGCCCGAUGUCAAUGCCCUGCUUUGUUCUUCCAUUGACUACUCUGCCAUCAUGGUCCUUUUACUCCACCAAACGACAACAUGCCCGACUUGUCCCGUGAGCCUCACGAUGUGCCCUAACCACCGACUUACUUCCAUUGCCCAGUGAUCAGGCCCUAAGAUGGAGACAGGCUAAGAUGCUUCAAUCAACACAGUUAGCCACUUUCACUUCCCCAAGCAGCAGUACUUUUGUUGCAAUACUUGGUCGUCAAUAUAAUGAUAAUGGAGGUUCUUGAAGCUGCUAAAGAUAUGUGAAUGGAUAGUCUACUGGUCCAAUUAACAAGAAAGCCAUAGCUAUGUUAUUCGAGCUUUGAUUAUGAUAUAUACCUUAGGGGGAGCUAUCAUUGUAUGAUACCAAGGCAAUAAGCUUCAGUUAAUCUUUCAAAGUGCCUUCAUCACCGUCCUUCCCAUUGGUUGUUGCCUUCUUCUUCUUUUUUUCCCCCCCUGUGUAUCUUCGAAGUGUUUUUGCAAGAGUAUUCACCUUUCCUUUGCUUAAGACAUGAAGAUAAGUGUGAUUAAGACCAUGGAUGAUUCCACCUCACCCCUAUAAAUGUACACUUUUUUUUAUUUGUCCAGUGUCUGUCGCUCAGAUUUUUUUUUCUCCUUUAUGCUCUUGUUAAUUUAAUUACUAGAAAGUUCAUCCGAGAGCUAGAAGAACAGCUUAUUGAAGACCAGGAUAAAUUAAGUGUCAUAGAAACUUUA